UAUGGUAAUUGUGCCCCGCCGCGGUAAUACGGAAGGUUCGGGCGUUAUCCGGAUUUAUUGGGUUUAAAGGGAGCGUAGGCCGGAGAUUAAGCGUGUUGUGAAAUGUAGACGCUCAACGUCUGCACUGCAGCGCGAACUGGUUUCCUUGAGUACGCACAAAGUGGGCGGAAUUCGUGGUGUAGCGGUGAAAUGCUUAGAUAUCACGAAGAACUCCGAUUGCGAAGGCAGCUCACUGGAGCGCAACUGACGCUGAAGCUCGAAAGUGCGGGUAUCGAACAGG
RNAcentral lists this ribosomal RNA (280 nucleotides) under Segatella copri DSM 18205. RNAcentral describes it as "Prevotella copri DSM 18205 partial 16S ribosomal RNA". It matches the Rfam family "Bacterial small subunit ribosomal RNA", at positions 493 to 776 of the family's 1533-position model. The record is from RNAcentral. Lineage: Bacteria; Pseudomonadati; Bacteroidota; Bacteroidia; Bacteroidales; Prevotellaceae.